AGGAAGAAAGCUAUUGCCACCACACUCAUGCUUGUGGCGUGGGCACUGUGGAACGAGAGGAAUGCACGGGUUUUUCGCAAGAAGUCUACACUGCUUUCCAUCGUCUUCGCACAUGUUAGGAACGAGGCUAAGUUGUGGGCACCGCCGGUGCUAGGCACCUGGGCUCUAUUAUGCCGUGAGAGUAGGCUUUUGUCUCAUUUGUUGAGGAGUAAUGACCUCGCCAUAAACUUCUGUUACCCUUCUUCUUUAUUAAUGAUAUGA
RNAcentral lists this ribosomal RNA (261 nucleotides) under Triticum aestivum (bread wheat). RNAcentral describes it as "partial small subunit ribosomal RNA". The record is from RNAcentral. Lineage: Eukaryota; Viridiplantae; Streptophyta; Magnoliopsida; Poales; Poaceae.